This 437-nucleotide ribosomal RNA is filed under the name uncultured Lachnospiraceae bacterium. RNAcentral describes it as "bacterial SSU rRNA". It matches the Rfam family "Bacterial small subunit ribosomal RNA", at positions 140 to 594 of the family's 1533-position model. The record is from RNAcentral. Lineage: Bacteria; Bacillati; Bacillota; Clostridia; Lachnospirales; Lachnospiraceae.
GGGAUAACAGUUAGAAAUGACUGCUAAUACCGCAUAAGACCACAGCACCGCAUGGUGCAGGGGUAAAAACUCCGGUGGUAUGAGAUGGACCCGCGUCUGAUUAGCUAGUUGGUAAGGUAACGGCUUACCAAGGGCGACGAUCAGUAGCCGACCUGAGAGGGUGACCGGCCACAUUGGGACUGAGACACGGCCCAAACUCCUACGGGAGGCAGCAGUGGGGAAUAUUGCACAAUGGGGGAAACCCUGAUGCAGCGACGCCGCGUGAGCGAAGAAGUAUUUCGGUAUGUAAAGCUCUAUCAGCAGGGAAGAAAAUGACGGUACCUGACUAAGAAGCACCGGCUAAAUACGUGCCAGCAGCCGCGGUAAUACGUAUGGUGCAAGCGUUAUCCGGAUUUACUGGGUGUAACGGGAGCGUAGACGGAUGGGCAAGUCUGAUG